RNAcentral lists this ribosomal RNA (253 nucleotides) under uncultured prokaryote. RNAcentral's name for it is "partial 16S ribosomal RNA". It matches the Rfam family "Bacterial small subunit ribosomal RNA", at positions 524 to 776 of the family's 1533-position model. The record is from RNAcentral.
UACGGAGGGUGCAAGCGUUAUCCGGAUUUACUGGGUUUAAAGGGUGCGUAGGUGGGUCUGUAAGUCAGUGGUGAAAUCUCCGAGCUUAACUCGGAAAGGUCAACUGAUACUGCGCGGCUAGAGUGCAGAAGGGGCAACUGGAAUUCUCGGUGUAGCGGUGAAAUGCGUAGAUAUCGAGAGGAACACCUGCGGCGAAGGCGGGUUGCUGGGCUGACACUGACGCUGAUGCGCGAAAGCCAGGGGAGCGAACGGG